AUUGAACGCUGGCGGCACGCCUUACACAUGCAAGUCGAACGGCAGCGGGGACUUCGGUCCGCCGGCGAGUGGCGAACGGGUGAGUAAUGUAUCGGAACGUACCAUUCAGUGGGGGAUAACUAUCCGAAAGGAUAGCUAAUACCGCAUAUUCUGUGAGCAGGAAAGCAGGGGAUCGCAAGACCUUGCGCUGAUUGAGCGGCCGAUAUCAGAUUAGCUAGUUGGUGAGGUAACGGCUCACCAAGGCUACGAUCUGUAGCGGGUCUGAGAGGAUGAUCCGCCACACUGGGACUGAGACACGGCCCAGACUCCUACGGGAGGCAGCAGUGGGGAAUUUUGGACAAUGGGCGCAAGCCUGAUCCAGCCAUGCCGCGUGAGUGAAGAAGGCCUUCGGGUUGUAAAGCUCUUUCGGCCGGGAAGAAAUCGCAUCAGCUAAUACCUGGUGUGGAUGACGGUACCGGAAUAAGAAGCACCGGCUAACUACGUGCCAGCAGCCGCCGUAA
Molecule: ribosomal RNA, 500 nt
Filed under: uncultured bacterium
Lineage: Bacteria
Description: partial 16S ribosomal RNA
Rfam family: Bacterial small subunit ribosomal RNA
Source: RNAcentral